Molecule: ribosomal RNA, 253 nt
Filed under: uncultured bacterium
Lineage: Bacteria
Description: partial 16S ribosomal RNA
Rfam family: Bacterial small subunit ribosomal RNA
Source: RNAcentral
GACGUAGGGCGCGAGCGUUGUCCGGAUUUAUUGGGCGUAAAGAGCUCGUAGGCGGUCUGUCGCGUCGGCUGUGAAAACUCGGGGCUCAACCCCGAGCCUGCAGUCGAUACGGGCAGACUAGAGUGCGGUAGGGGAGACUGGAAUUCCUGGUGUAGCGGUGAAAUGCGCAGAUAUCAGGAGGAACACCGAUGGCGAAGGCAGGUCUCUGGGCAUUAACUGACGCUGAGGAGCGAAAGCAUGGGGAGCGAACAGG